AUCCGGGGUGAGGACAGUGUCUGGUGGGUAGUUUGACUGGGGCGGUCUCCUCCCAAAGAGUAACGGAGGAGCACGAAGGUUAGCUAAUCACGGUCGGACAUCGUGAGGUUAGUGCAAAGGCAUAAGCUAGCUUGACUGCGAGAGUGACGGCUCGAGCAGGUACGAAAGUAGGUCUUAGUGAUCCGGUGGUUCUGAAUGGAAGGGCCAUCGCUCAACGGAUAAAAGGUACUCCGGGGAUAACAGGCUGAUACCGCCCAAGAGUUCAUAUCGACGGCGGUGUUUGGCACCUCGAUGUCGGCUCAUCACAUCCUGGGGCUGAAGUAGGUCCCAAGGGUAUGGCUGUUCGCCAUUUAAAGUGGUACGCGAGCUGGGUUUAGAACGUCGUGAGACAGUUCGGUCCCUAUCUGCCGUGGGCGUUGGAAGAUUGAGAGGGGCUGCUCCUAGUACGAGAGGACCGGAGUGGACGAAUCACUGGUGUUCGGGUUGUCAUGCCAAUGGCAUUGCCCGGUAGCUAAAUUCGGAA
RNAcentral lists this ribosomal RNA (523 nucleotides) under Yersinia intermedia. Its description in RNAcentral is "partial 23S ribosomal RNA". It matches the Rfam family "Bacterial large subunit ribosomal RNA", at positions 2238 to 2760 of the family's 2925-position model. Lineage: Bacteria; Pseudomonadati; Pseudomonadota; Gammaproteobacteria; Enterobacterales; Yersiniaceae. The record is from RNAcentral.